This 497-nucleotide ribosomal RNA is filed under the name uncultured bacterium. RNAcentral describes it as "partial 16S ribosomal RNA". It matches the Rfam family "Bacterial small subunit ribosomal RNA", at positions 28 to 507 of the family's 1533-position model. The record is from RNAcentral.
GAUGAACGCUGGCGGCGUGCCUAAUACAUGCAAGUCGAGCGAACAGACCCAGAGCUUCUUCCUCUCACGUUUGCCGCGCACGGGUGAGUAACACGGGGGUAACCUACCUCAAAGACGGGUAUAACUUGGGGAAACCGUAUCUUAUAGCGUAGGAUAUUUUUAUCCGUAUGGUUCAAGAAUGUAAGACCGUUUUGCUAUCACUUCUAGAUGUAUCCGCGCCGUAUUAGCUAGUUGGUAAAGUAACGGGUUACCAAGGCAACGAUGCGUAGCCGACCUGAGAGGGUGAUCGGCCAUGCGGGAACUGAGGGACAGUUCAGACUCGUACGGCAGGCAGCAGUAGGGCAGCUUCCACCAUUGGCGAAUACCUGACGAAGCGACGCAGCGUGAGUGAUGAAGGUCGUCGGAUCGUUAAACUCUGUUAGUAGGGAAGAACAAAUGUGUAAGUAACUAUGGACGUCUUGACGGUACCUAAUCAAAAAGCAACGGCUAACUACGUG